Long non-coding RNA from Oxyura jamaicensis (ruddy duck), 1680 nucleotides. RefSeq lists it as uncharacterized. The record is from RefSeq and is a predicted model, not a curated record. NCBI's taxonomy places the organism in Eukaryota, Metazoa, Chordata, Aves, Anseriformes, Anatidae. The transcript is spliced from 2 exons.
UAAAUGGAAGGAUCUUGCCUGUGAAGGGGGGAACUUCUGGGGAAAUAUUUACUCCAGAGGUAGAAGAAACAGUCUGAGGGAAAUUUCCUCUCUACAUCCUGAUGUCUGCAGCAAUCUUUCUUUGGGAAGUUAUCCACACUGAACACGUGGCUCCAAACUGAGCUUGGACUGUUUACUGUGAUGCUUGCAGGAAGAGAAAAUUUAUUUCUCUGCUGUGGCCUAAACUCAUAACAUAAAGUCAACGAUGAGAGAAUCAGAGCAGGCCCAAAAUGUUCUGGAGGAUGAAAGAGCUGAGGAGAGCACAGGGAAGCGGAGGGAGGAAGAGGAAGGGCAGGAGGCCCAUCUCGCCUUUCCGAGUGCAAAGAACCUGUUGGGAUAACCACACUCACCACCAGAGCAGGGUGGCAGAGGUAAAGGCCUUAGCUCCUUAGCUAAGGCCUCCCUUAGCUCCCUGCUGCAGGCCAGCUUCCUAAUGCCCACACCACCUCAGGAAGCCCAGCUGAUCCCAGCACAGACCGGGGGGGAUGCCAGGUGGGAACCAGGACGGUUGUAUCGCUCUGCCCUGCGGCAGGAGCAAGGCUCUUUGAAAGCACUAAGUGCUGGCAAGGGCCAGGACAGGACUAAUGGGCUACUAGCCUCAGGGGACUAAUGGGAUGGCUGAUAAGGACAUGGAUUUUGACAUUGCAGAGCAAAUAAGAAUUGGCAGGCAUUAACCUCAGACAUGUCUGCUACCUAGACAAAUCCAAGCCCCUCUGUCUUCGUUCUGUUUAGCAUAUUAAUGUUUAAUUCCAUUAGCAUCAGCAGCCGUGGCCACUGUUCAGCCCAAGAGCUGUUUGGAUGAGCCUCGGGAGGUGCCAUUUUUGGAAGGGGACCUUGCAGCUGGCCAGGGGCCAGAGAGCCCUGCCCAGCUCCUCAGCCAGCAGCAGUCCCUACGGCGUGGCUGCAGCUCACAGCAUCUGCCUCUUGCUCACAGUCCCAUGCUAAUUCAGCAUCAACCGCUGCUGCCGGAUCCAUGGGCUGCCUCCUUCCCCAAGCACUGCAACUGCGCUUCAUUGCUGUUUGUGGGGGGUGAUUUUCCCUCUCUCCUCUGCUUUCACCCCUUUCUCUUUCACUUUCAGGAUGCAAAUCCUUACUGCUGUACUACAUGCCUUCCAGGAGAAACAAGGUGGCAGGGGCUGAUUCCAGGCUGGAAAUAGGAUGGGGAAAGAGCUCAUCACAAAGAAAUGAACCAUGUUGAUUCAUCUUCUCCAGCCUCCCUGCUCUCCACUCCUUGCUAAGUGGUAGUGGCAGCAGCAGCAUGGUGUGCAGUGGUGCAUUUCCCUGCAUUCAACCCAGCAGUCCUGCACACCUCUGGAGAGCGGACUGAUCUCAGGAGAACAAGAAAGAAGCAGCCCCGAUGUCUGGUGCAAUUCCUUACAGAGCUUAGAAAUCUAAUCAGUAAGGUGGCCUUCUAUUUUUCUCUCCUCUCUCCCUUUAAUGCUUCCCUUUAAAUGAGAUAUUAAAAAUAGGAAAUAUUAAUUUGGCAGAUGGUGCAAUUGGGCUUUUGGCAGGAGACUGUACACUGUGCCGCAGAGUUACAGACCUCUGUCUCCACGCUGGAGCACUGAGCGAUGCUCUGGCUCCUCUCCAGGCAGUGCCUUCCUCCAGCUCUGGGUGCUGGGAGAGCUGUCUGGGGCAGAG